Wyeomyia smithii (pitcher-plant mosquito) is the source of this 631-nucleotide long non-coding RNA. RefSeq lists it as uncharacterized. The record is from RefSeq and is a predicted model, not a curated record. The transcript has 2 exons. NCBI's taxonomy places the organism in Eukaryota, Metazoa, Arthropoda, Insecta, Diptera, Culicidae.
CGACUGGUCGUGUUACCAGUUAUAUAAAAGUGGAUCUUUAUUUUGUGGAAAAGGAUUUUUCGAUAUGUGCAGCAUUUCGAAAUCGUAAACCAAUUUAAAAGUUGUUCGGAUUUUUUUCCUCACACGUUAAAAAGUGUCUUUUUCGAAACGAGCUAGUAGAGCGGCACGGAGAACCACGUAUAUGGUUACUUGGGAUUAGAUAACCAUCUUCAAUGUACAGCAAUUCAGUAGCUUCCGCUUUGUUAAGAUCUGUAAAGGCGCCGUCCACGUCCUCACUGUCGUAAGGGCGUUUUGGAAUAGUGGAACUUUUUUGCAUCCAAUAAGAUGUAUUCACACUUGUUUUGUCUGUCGGAGCACAAACGAUGUCACACUGAAAGAAAUCGGCACGACAUUAUAAAGUGUUUUGCACUUGAAUUCGCCCUACUGUACCUACGGGUCAAAACAUAUAUAAUUCAUAUGCGAAACACUUUAGAAUUAUUAGUUGUGCAACACCUCAUUUUCAAAAGGUAAACACUUUCUAUUCUCGUGUUAUGACAAAUAGACAUAAAGUGUUUGGAUUUUGAAUCUCAUAUGAAUUUUUACCGAACUUCGAGUGAUUUUUAUUCGAUUUUAAAAUAAAAACAGUUCUGCA